RNAcentral lists this ribosomal RNA (490 nucleotides) under uncultured bacterium. Its description in RNAcentral is "partial 16S ribosomal RNA". It matches the Rfam family "Bacterial small subunit ribosomal RNA", at positions 30 to 507 of the family's 1533-position model. The record is from RNAcentral.
AUUGAACGCUGGCGGCAGGCCUAACACAUGCAAGUCGAACGGUAACAGGAAGAAGCUUGCUUCUUUGCUGACGAGUGGCGGACGGGUGAGUAAUGUCUGUGAAACUGCCUGAUGGAGGGGGAUAACUACUGGAAACGGUAGCUAAUACCGCAUAACGUCGCAAGACCAAAGAGGGGGACCUUCGGGCCUCUUGCCAUCGGGUGUGCCCAGAUGGGAUUAGCUAGUAGGUGGGGUAACGGCUCACCUAGGCGACGAUCCCUAGCUGGUCUGAGAGGAUGACCAGCCACACUGGAACUGAGACACGGUCCAGACUCCUACGGGAGGCAGCAGUGGGGAAUAUUGCACAAUGGGCGCAAGCCUGAUGCAGCCAUGCCGCGUGUAUGAAGAAGGCCUUCGGGUUGUAAAGUACUUUCAGCGGGGAGGAAGGGAGUAAAGUUAAUACCUUUGCUCAUUGACGUUACCCGAAGAAGAAGCACCGGCUAACUCCGUG